GGCGAGAUCGAAUAAUGGGAGUUCGCUGGGCUCAUGCCCCAUUGGUGUAGGUUCGAGUCCUACUCUUGCCA
Non-coding RNA from Dictyostelium firmibasis, 71 nucleotides. The record is from the annotation of a GenBank genome assembly. NCBI's taxonomy places the organism in Eukaryota, Evosea, Eumycetozoa, Dictyosteliales, Dictyosteliaceae.